GUAGGGUGCAAGCGUUAAUCGGAAUUACUGGGCGUAAAGCGUGCGCAGGCAGUUUUAUAAGUCAGAUGUGAAAUCCCCGAGCUCAACUUGGGAACUGCGUUUGAAACUGUAAGACUAGAGUGUGUCAGAGGGGGGUAGAAUUCCAAGUGUAGCAGUGAAAUGCGUAGAGAUUUGGAGGAAUACCAAUGGCGAAGGCAGCCCCCUGGGAUAACACUGACGCUCAUGAACGAAAGCGUGGGGAGCAAACAGGAUUAGAUACCCUGGUAGUCCACGCCCUAAACGAUGUCUACUAGUUGUUGGUGGAGUAAAAUCCAUGAGUAACGCAGCUAACGCGUGAAGUAGACCGCCUGGGGAGUACGGUCGCAAGAUUAAAACUCAAAUGAAUUGACGGGGGCCCGCACAAGCGGUGGAUUAUGUGGAUUAAUUCGAUGCAACGCGAAAAACCUUACCUGGCCUUGACAUGUACCGAAUUUAGCAGAGAUGCUUUAGUGCUCGAAAGAGAACGGUAACACAGGUGCUGCAUGGCUGUCGUCAGCUCGUGUCGUGAGGUGUUGGGUUAAGUCCCGCAACGAGCGCAACCCUUGCCAUUAAUUGCCAUCAUUUAGUUGGGCACUUUAAUGGGACUGCCGGUGACAAACCGGAGGAAGGUGGGGAUGACGUCAAGUCCUCAUGGCCCUUAUGGCCAGGGCUUCACACGUAAUACAAUGGUCGGUACAGAGGGAAGCCAACCCGCGAGGGGGAGCCAAUCUCAGAAAGCCGGUCGUAGUCCGGAUUGUUGUCUGCAACUCGACAGCAUGAAGUCGGAAUCGCUAGUAAUCGCGGAUCAGCAUGUCGCGGUGAAUACGUUCCCCGGGCCUU
This 858-nucleotide ribosomal RNA is filed under the name uncultured organism. RNAcentral's name for it is "bacterial SSU rRNA". It matches the Rfam family "Bacterial small subunit ribosomal RNA", at positions 527 to 1382 of the family's 1533-position model. The record is from RNAcentral.